AGGGGCUGUAGCUCAGUUGGUAGAGCGCUUCGUUCGCAUCGAAGAGGUCGCGGUUUCGACUACCGUCAGCUCCACG
RNAcentral lists this transfer RNA (76 nucleotides) under Bifidobacterium breve 2L. Its description in RNAcentral is "tRNA-Ala". It matches the Rfam family "tRNA". From Rfam's summary of the family: Transfer RNA (tRNA) molecules are approximately 80 nucleotides in length. Their secondary structure includes four short double-helical elements and three loops (D, anti-codon, and T loops). Further hydrogen bonds mediate the characteristic L-shaped molecular structure. tRNAs have two regions of fundamental functional importance: the anti-codon, which is responsible for specific mRNA codon recognition, and the 3' end, to which the tRNAs corresponding amino acid is attached (by aminoacyl-tRNA synthetases). tRNAs cope with the degeneracy of the genetic code in two manners: having more than one tRNA (with a specific anti-codon) for a particular amino acid; and 'wobble' base-pairing, i.e. permitting non-standard base-pairing at the 3rd anti-codon position. Lineage: Bacteria; Bacillati; Actinomycetota; Actinomycetes; Bifidobacteriales; Bifidobacteriaceae. The record is from RNAcentral.